RNAcentral lists this ribosomal RNA (687 nucleotides) under Triticum aestivum (bread wheat). RNAcentral's name for it is "partial small subunit ribosomal RNA". The record is from RNAcentral. Lineage: Eukaryota; Viridiplantae; Streptophyta; Magnoliopsida; Poales; Poaceae.
AUGUAUCCAGUGGCAUGGGCAGUUGUUGAGAGGGAAACUAAUAAUACAUGGAAGUGGUUCAUUGCCCUGCUUAUUAAAGAUCUUGAGAUUAAUGACAAUGGAGCUGGCUGGGUGUUCAUUUCAGAUCAGCAGAAGGGACUGAUAAAUGCAAUGAAGGAUUAUUUGCCAAAUGCAGAGCACAAAAUGUGUGCUAGGCAUAUCUAUGCCAACUGGAGGAAGAAGCAUAGGGAACAUCAGUGGCAGAAGAAGUUCCAGGCAGUUGCCAAAGCAGCAAACAAGCAGGACUUCAACUACUGUAAAGCAAAGCUUGCCCAAGAAACUCGAGAAGGUGCGAAAGACAUCAUGAGAACAGAGCCAGUGCAUUGGGCAAUGGCUUUUUUUCCAGUGGGAUCCAAUUGUGAGUCUGUUGAUAAUAAUUUGUGUGAAUCCUUCAAUCAUGCAAUUGUUGAAGCAAGGUUUUAUCCAAUGCAAGAAAAUAUAAGGCAAAAGGUUAUGGUUAGAAUUCAGGAACAAAGGGAAAAAGGUCAGAACUUUCAUGGAAAAAUAUGUCCAAGUGCAUUCAAGAAAUUGAAGAGCAGCAUAGCAAGAACCCAGUUCAUGGAAGUACUUUGGAAUGGCAAAGAUGGAUUUGAAGUGAAACUUGUCACUUGGAGAAAAAGGCAGUACACAGUGAGUCUUGACAACUAG